Sinocyclocheilus grahami is the source of this 260-nucleotide long non-coding RNA. RefSeq lists it as uncharacterized. NCBI's taxonomy places the organism in Eukaryota, Metazoa, Chordata, Actinopteri, Cypriniformes, Cyprinidae. The transcript has 3 exons. The record is from RefSeq and is a predicted model, not a curated record.
CCCUACAACAAACGAAUGCUGGAGAGGUAACAUUAAUCCAGCAUGUUCCAGUGCCAAAUGAUCAGGGAGGCCUGCACUCUCUACUUCAAAGCAAAGCAGCAGUGUUAAGUUACCCGAGGAACACAGGAACACAGGAUCAUUUCAAGUCCAGGAGACUGCUUGUCAAAGUUUGUGUCAGUCACUUGGUGGAGAAGGGUGAAUUUUACCCAUCAAGUGCUGAAAAGCUUGUUUUUGUCACUACUUUCACAUCUUUGCCGGGU